CCUACGGGUGGCAGCAGUGGGGAAUAUUGCACAAUGGGCGCAAGCCUGAUGCAGCCAUGCCGCGUGUAUGAAGAAGGCCUUCGGGUUGUAAAGUACUUUCAGCGGGGAGGAAGGCGAUAAGGUUAAUAACCUUUUCGAUUGACGUUACCCGCAGAAGAAGCACCGGCUAACUCCAUGCCAGCAGCCGCGGUAAUACGGAGGGUGCAAGCGUUAAUCGGAAUUACUGGGCGUAAAGCGCACGCAGGCGGUCUGUCAAGUCGGAUGUGAAAUCCCCGGGCUCAACCUGGGAACUGCAUUCGAAACUGGCAGGCUAGAGUCUUGUAGAGGGGGGUAGAAUUCCAGGUGUAGCGGUGAGAUGCGUAGAGAUCUGGAGGAAUACCGGUGGCGAAGGCGGACCCCUGGACAGAGACUGACGCUCAGGUGCGAAAGCCUGGGGAGCAAACAGGAUUAGAUACCCCCGUAGUC
RNAcentral lists this ribosomal RNA (465 nucleotides) under uncultured bacterium. Its description in RNAcentral is "bacterial SSU rRNA". It matches the Rfam family "Bacterial small subunit ribosomal RNA", at positions 338 to 795 of the family's 1533-position model. The record is from RNAcentral.